CUCCUACGGGAGGCCGCAGUGGGGAAUAUUGGACAAUGGGCGCAAGCCUGAUCCAGCAAUGCCGCGUGGGUGAAGAAGGUCUUCGGAUUGUAAAUCCCUUUCGGCGGGGACGAUGAUGACGGUACCCGCAGAAGAAGCUCCGGCUAACUUCGUGCCGGCAGCCGCGGUAAUC
Molecule: ribosomal RNA, 172 nt
Filed under: uncultured bacterium
Lineage: Bacteria
Description: partial 16S ribosomal RNA
Rfam family: Bacterial small subunit ribosomal RNA
Source: RNAcentral